Molecule: non-coding RNA, 2419 nt
Organism: Erythranthe guttata (spotted monkey flower)
Lineage: Eukaryota; Viridiplantae; Streptophyta; Magnoliopsida; Lamiales; Phrymaceae
Source: RefSeq, a predicted model, not a curated record
AAAGUACGCAAAUUCAUUGAAGGAUUAAAAUUAGAACUUCGUUGGGCUAUAAUUUCUUCGGAUGCAACAAAUUAUAGCGCGACGAUUAAUAAGGCGAUGCAGAUCGAGUCGGAAAUGCGAGAGUUGACCCACUUUGAAGAGCGAGCGAAGAGAACUAAAUUUACAAACUUGAGAGGAAAUUCAAAUCGAAAUCCCUUUUCGGAUCCGAAAUAUCCAAGAAUGGAUCAAGAGCGUUUUACAAAUCGUAAUCUAGUGUCAAAUCAUCAGAGCGGCGCUCCCCCCCAUCCAGUGAUGCAGAGGAAGUGUGGAUUUUGCGGACUCUCCAAUCAUGAAGAAAAUGAUUGUCGAAGGAAGAAAGGAUUGUGUGUUCUUUGUGGAAGUGCUGAUCAUAUCGCACGUGAUUGUCGUAGGAGACAAGAAUCUCUUCAUAUUCCACAAGGACAAAAAGGAAAGGCUCCAAUGGAGCAGCGAAGCAAGGCCAAAAUUCCUGCCCGCGCUUAUGCACUUGCUGGGGUGGACGAAACUGCCGAGCCAACCGCUGUCGUAGAAGGUAAUGUUUGUCUACUUGGUAAAUGCGGUAAACCUCAUUUAGUCCCGGAACAACUCAUUUGUUUAUCGUAUCGUCUUUCGCAAAUGAGUUAGUUUUAGAAGGCUAAUCAUUACCUUAUAAUUUCGAGGUAAGCACUGCAAUAGGCUCCAACAUACUUACUAAUAUAGUAUGUGUAGAGCUUGUGCCAUCGAGUUAGAGAGUAAAGAAGACUGUGCAAAUCUUCUAAUCAUAGGUUAUGAUCUUAUUUUGGGGAUGGAUUGGUUGCAUAAGCACCAUGCCCAAUUAGAUUGCAUAAGAAAAAAAACGUGGGAACAACUUCCAUUUAGUUAUAUUGCACAUCCUCAAACGAAUGGGCAAUCAAAGGGAGUGAUUGGAUUUUUGGAGGACAUGUUUGAGAGCAUGUGCCAUGGAUUAUAGAGAAAGUUACGUAAAUCGAAUUCGCGUACUACAAGUGGGCACCAUAUGAGGCGCUAUAUGGUAAGUCGAUCUCUAUUGCAUUGGGAACUUGAUAGAUGGAGAGUAACCAAAGACGGUCAAGAAAGAGCGCUAAGGUCGGAACUAAUACAAGAUGCUAUUGAUAAAGUGCAUAUCAUCAAGCGACGGAUGAAAGCCUCACAAGAUCGGCAAUAGAGCAAUGGGCGUAGAAAGAACAUCAAGUUUGAAGUUGGCAAUAUGGUGUUUCUCAAAGUGUCGCCAAGAAAAGGAUUCAAACGUAUUGGAAAAGGAGGGAAGCUUAGUCCACGUUAUUAUAUAGGACCUUUUGAAAUUUGUGAACGUAUAGGUCGUGUAGCCUAUUGGUUAAUCUCAUUACCCUUAACUUUUUCACACAGGUAAUAUUAACGAUGUGUAAAUCUGGGGACCAGAUUUCUUUAACAGGGGGAGAGUGUAACACCCCUUAAUUUUUAUUAUGUUCUAUAAUAAUAGUUUAUACAUUUAUAUUAUUGAAGUUUAUUCAUUAAUGAUGGUAAUAUAGUAAUAUGGUGAAUUUAUAUGGUUUAGAUGUUAUUGAUAAAAAUAGUUGGGGAAAAAGAGUAAAUAAGGUAAUUUACAAGGGCUGAUAUAGUAUUAAGGAAUAGUUAAGGCAGAUAAUGAUUCUAUAUAUUUAGACUUAGGCAGCAAGGAUCUGACGUUUAAGAGGAUAAUUAUAAGAUUAAGUAAAAUUUAAGGAGAAGACACGUAUUAUAAUCGACGAGUCAUCUUCCCCUUCAUCUUCAUCCGAUCAUCAAUCUUCUUUAAAAACCCCCCUUCUGCAUAUAAAUUCCACACCAUCUUCCACUUAAUCUCAGCAAGAAAAACCUCCCCAUAAUCCCAAGAAAUAUCUUCUAUCACAAACCAUAGAGAGAAGUCAAGAAAAUACGAGGCAGCCAGGGUUUAAUCGACGGAGACAAAGAUGGUGACUUGACGAUCUUUCCGGCGGAGUUUUGGCGAGCGGGGUAUAGGGCUCGAAAGCCCUCUGUAUAAGCUUCGAUUUGGUGGAAAUUUCCGGCUUGUUUCUCCGGUGGUGAUAGUUGUGAUCCGACGGCGAAGUUCAGCUGAUCCUAAAACCUUUCGGAUUUAAUUAGAGGUUUUGAGAUCGAGGAACCGUGAUCGACGAGUACUCUUGAUUGGACCAAGACACAGGUGCGGCUUGAAUGCAUCAGAGGAAUUCCCGUUCGAGUAACUACCUUGUUUAUAUUUGUAAAAUAGUGGUUCGAUUAAGUUAAGAAUAAUCGUUGUCUUGUAUUAUAAAUAUCAGCGUUUGAAUUUAUUUAUGUUAUAGUAUUGUAAUCUCAUAAGCUAGAAACUGCUGUUGUAAAUGUCCGGAACCUUUGUACUUUACCUUGCUAGACAUGAGGUUGUUAAUAAAUAAAUCGUACGUAUUUUUGUGAA